This 31-nucleotide non-coding RNA is filed under the name Mus musculus (house mouse). Lineage: Eukaryota; Metazoa; Chordata; Mammalia; Rodentia; Muridae. The record is from RNAcentral.
UGCAUGAAGAUAGGUGACUCAAAGACAUCUG